Molecule: long non-coding RNA, 601 nt
Organism: Saccostrea cuccullata (small rock oyster)
Lineage: Eukaryota; Metazoa; Mollusca; Bivalvia; Ostreida; Ostreidae
Exons: 4
Source: RefSeq, a predicted model, not a curated record
UAUAUUCGAAAUCUUGUGAUGUAUAUUCUAUAAUCUUGUGAUGUAUAUUCGAAAUCUUGUGAUGUAUAUUCGAAAUCUUGUUAUGUAUAUUCUAUAAUCUUGUGAUGUAUAUUCGAAAUCUUGUGAUGUAUGUUCGAUAAUCUUGUGAUGUAUAUUCGAAAUCUUGUGAUGUGUGUUCUACAAUUUAGUGAUGCGUGAAAUAAUAUUGCAUGACGCAACAGAAAAGUAAGAACAAUUUUCAUUGGUUAGAAAAAACGAAAGUAGCCGGAGCGGUCGUAAUGCAUGUACAACUUCGCAAGCAUGAAAUUGGCGAUUUUCAACCUAAAGUCAAAAUUAUAGGUACACAUGAUCGAUGUAACUUCCUCGAUGGUGUGUUGACUGUUUGCCCAUGUGUAUUUCGGGGUAUAGGAGUAGCCUCCCCUUUUAAAGAUCCAAAAUGGUGAUUUUACAGUGCGGCAUGCAGUCUGGUCAUCAAGGGAGAGUUUUGACACCCUCCAAGACAGGAAGUUGAGGAAUAAAGUUGACAGGACAUCCUGAACUACCAGCUUAUGAGGGAACCAGCUGCAGUGGACAAAGUACGUUACAUCAUAGGAUAAUAGCA